GACGAACGCUGGCGGCGUGCCUAACACAUGCAAGUCGAACGGAAAGGCCCUGCUUUUGUGGGGUGCUCGAGUGGCGAACGGGGGAGUAACACGUGAGUAAACCGUCCCUGUCUUUGGGGUAACUUUAGGAAACCGGGGCUAAAACCCGAUAGGAGCUCCUGCUGCAUGGUGGGGGUUGGAAAGUUUCGGCGGUUGGGGAUGGACUCGCGGCUUAUCAGCUUGUUGGUGGGGUAGUGGCUUACCAAGGCUUUGACGGGUAGCCGGCCUGAGAGGGUGACCGGCCACAUUGGGACUGAGAUACGGCCCAGACUCCUACGGGAGGCAGCAGUGGGGAAUAUUGCACAAUGGGCGGAAGCCUGAUGCAGCAACGCCGCGUGCGGGAUGACGGCCUUCGGGUUGUAAACCGCUUUCGCCUGUGACGAAGCGUGAGUGACGGUAAUGGGUAAAGAAGCACCGGCUAACUACGUG
Molecule: ribosomal RNA, 468 nt
Filed under: uncultured bacterium
Lineage: Bacteria
Description: partial 16S ribosomal RNA
Rfam family: Bacterial small subunit ribosomal RNA
Source: RNAcentral